This is a long non-coding RNA of Fukomys damarensis (Damara mole-rat), 891 nucleotides long. RefSeq lists it as uncharacterized. The record is from RefSeq and is a predicted model, not a curated record. The transcript is spliced from 4 exons. NCBI's taxonomy places the organism in Eukaryota, Metazoa, Chordata, Mammalia, Rodentia, Bathyergidae.
GGCCGCAGAACCACUGAGUCAAAUCCCCAGCCCUUGCUCACAUUUAAAAGAAACCUAAAAAUUGGAAUCCAGCAUUGGCUCCUGCUGAAACCACUGUGUCCUGCUACCUCACUGCUUUCUCGAACAUUGAACCAGCCUGUCUCAGAGGAGGUGGUAGAAGAGAGAAGACCGAACUGAGGAAAGUUUCUCAGACAGUUCUCGUGAAUCACCCAAGUCCCACAGCUUCAGAGAAACAGAGUCCUCAGGCACUUCUCCACGUGCUCUCCACAAGGACAAGUGAGGGACUGGAUGCCGUGUACUGGACCUCACCCCUGCACAGGUGAUUCACGGGUAGCAAGGACACAGCCUGGCAUCCGAGCAGCUCUUGCAUGAGAUGCAGCAGAUUGGUAUGCAGGCUUGGUGGGCUCUGGCUAAUCUUGCAGGGAACCCUUCAAUCUGAAUAACAAUCAACAAGAUUUUAAAGAAAUUUGGGCCAAUUUCCUGGAAGUCUAUGAUUAAUCUAAUUGCUGGGUUUUCCUCUGUUUUUGUCUCCCACUGUUAAUUUCAUUUAUUUUUCUCUUUCUUCUUCGACACAGACUGCCUUGUCUCUGUACGCGGUUUUGUCACUGUUGUUAUUUGUCCGUGCAUAGUUUAUCAUUGGCAGUGCUUUCAAUGGGAUUGUUGUACUCUAUGUUUGGGGAAGGAGAAUCUUUCAAUAGAGACAACACAUUGCAGCAGAAAGAAAGAGCACUGGGCUGAAUUUCAGAUACCCCUUCUUUUCAAAAAUCUAGCUCUGUGGGUACCUGCUAAGUGUCUCUGGAUUUUCAAAUUAGCAAUUUGAAAGAGGGCAGUUAAAGAGCCCUCAUCCUGUUACUCCUGGCCCCUCCCUCCACUGAAAACUAUGUGGCAUUU